This 253-nucleotide ribosomal RNA is filed under the name uncultured bacterium. RNAcentral describes it as "partial 16S ribosomal RNA". It matches the Rfam family "Bacterial small subunit ribosomal RNA", at positions 524 to 776 of the family's 1533-position model. The record is from RNAcentral.
GACGGGGGAUGCAAGCGUUAUCCGGAAUCACUGGGCGUAAAGCGUCUGCAGGCGGUUUCCUAAGUCCACUGUUAAACCUUGAGGCUCAACCUCAAAUCUGCAUUGGAAACUAGGAGACUUGAGUAUAGUAGGGGUAGAGGGAAUUUCCAGUGGAGCGGUGAAAUGCGUAGAUAUUGGAAAGAACACCGAUGGCGAAGGCACUCUACUGGGCUAUUACUGACACUCAGAGACGAAAGCUAGGGGAGCAAAUGGG